Molecule: ribosomal RNA, 722 nt
Filed under: Prevotella sp. P33
Lineage: Bacteria; Pseudomonadati; Bacteroidota; Bacteroidia; Bacteroidales; Prevotellaceae
Description: bacterial SSU rRNA
Rfam family: Bacterial small subunit ribosomal RNA
Source: RNAcentral
UCAGGAUGAACGCUAGCUACAGGCUUAACACAUGCAAGUCGAGGGGCAGCAUAAUGGAAGCUUGCUUUGGAUGAUGGCGACCGGCGCACGGGUGAGUAACGCGUAUCCAACCUUCCCUAUAGUAGAGAAUAGCCCGGCGAAAGUCGGAUUAAUGCUCUAUGUUGUAUUUAGAAGACAUCUGAAGAAUACCAAAGGUUUACCGCUAUAGGAUGGGGAUGCGUCUGAUUAGGUAGUAGGCGGGGUAACGGCCCACCUAGCCGACGAUCAGUAGGGGUUCUGAGAGGAAGGUCCCCCACAUUGGAACUGAGACACGGUCCAAACUCCUACGGGAGGCAGCAGUGAGGAAUAUUGGUCAAUGGACGGAAGUCUGAACCAGCCAAGUAGCGUGCAGGAUGACGGCCCUAUGGGUUGUAAACUGCUUUUAUAUAGGGAUAAAGUCGGGGACGUGUCCCCGUUUGUAGGUACUAUAUGAAUAAGGACCGGCUAAUUCCGUGCCAGCAGCCGCGGUAAUACGGAAGGUCCAGGCGUUAUCCGGAUUUAUUGGGUUUAAAGGGAGCGCAGGCUGAUGAUUAAGCGUGACGUGAAAUGUAGCCGCUCAACGGCUGAACUGCGUCGCGAACUGGUUAUCUUGAGUGAGUUCGAUGUUGGCGGAAUUCGUGGUGUAGCGGUGAAAUGCUUAGAUAUCACGAAGAACUCCGAUUGCGAAGGCAGCCAACAAGGCC